GUCUCAGUAGCAUAGUGGUUAAUGCACAGCCACAGUUAGGCGCGAGACGCGUGUUCGAAUCCUGCCUGAGAUA
RNAcentral lists this transfer RNA (73 nucleotides) under Nippostrongylus brasiliensis. It matches the Rfam family "tRNA". From Rfam's summary of the family: Transfer RNA (tRNA) molecules are approximately 80 nucleotides in length. Their secondary structure includes four short double-helical elements and three loops (D, anti-codon, and T loops). Further hydrogen bonds mediate the characteristic L-shaped molecular structure. tRNAs have two regions of fundamental functional importance: the anti-codon, which is responsible for specific mRNA codon recognition, and the 3' end, to which the tRNAs corresponding amino acid is attached (by aminoacyl-tRNA synthetases). tRNAs cope with the degeneracy of the genetic code in two manners: having more than one tRNA (with a specific anti-codon) for a particular amino acid; and 'wobble' base-pairing, i.e. permitting non-standard base-pairing at the 3rd anti-codon position. The record is from Rfam by way of RNAcentral. Lineage: Eukaryota; Metazoa; Nematoda; Chromadorea; Rhabditida; Heligmosomidae.